This 64-nucleotide transfer RNA is filed under the name Sternaspis scutata. RNAcentral's name for it is "tRNA-Ser". It matches the Rfam family "tRNA". From Rfam's summary of the family: Transfer RNA (tRNA) molecules are approximately 80 nucleotides in length. Their secondary structure includes four short double-helical elements and three loops (D, anti-codon, and T loops). RNAcentral also lists the same sequence under 2 other names. The record is from RNAcentral. Lineage: Eukaryota; Metazoa; Annelida; Polychaeta; Terebellida; Sternaspidae.
GGAUUUAUUUGGAAAACUAUGAUUUUGAAAAUCAUUAAAAGGUGUUCGAAUCACCUAAAAUCCU